RNAcentral lists this ribosomal RNA (253 nucleotides) under uncultured bacterium. RNAcentral describes it as "partial 16S ribosomal RNA". It matches the Rfam family "Bacterial small subunit ribosomal RNA", at positions 524 to 776 of the family's 1533-position model. The record is from RNAcentral.
UACGAAGGGGGCUAGCGUUGCUCGGAAUCACUGGGCGUAAAGCGCACGUAGGCGGCUUUUUAAGUCAGGGGUGAAAUCCUGGAGCUCAACUCCAGAACUGCCUUUGAUACUGAGAAGCUUGAGUUCGGGAGAGGUGAGUGGAACUGCGAGUGUAGAGGUGAAAUUCGUAGAUAUUCGCAAGAACACCAGUGGCGAAGGCGGCUCACUGGGACGUUACUGGCGCUGAGACGCGAAAGCGUGGGGAGCAAACAGG